Molecule: transfer RNA, 89 nt
Filed under: Streptomyces sp. A012304
Lineage: Bacteria; Bacillati; Actinomycetota; Actinomycetes; Kitasatosporales; Streptomycetaceae
Description: tRNA-Gly
Source: RNAcentral
GCGCCGAUGGUGGACAGGACCGCUUCGAUGUUGCCCUUGUCGAGGUAGCGGCGCUGCAGCUUCUGGGCGUCCUGGGCGUCCUUGGCGAU